UACGUAGGGUGCAAGCGUUGUCCGGAAUCAUUGGGCGUAAAGCGCACGUAGGCGGCUUUUUAAGUCAGGGGUGAAAUCCUGGAGCUCAACUCCAGAACUGCCUUUGAUACUGGGAAGCUUGAGUCCGGAAGAGGUGAGUGGAACUCCGAGUGUAGAGGUGAAAUUCGUAGAUAUUCGGAAGAACACCAGUGGCGAAGGCGGCUCACUGGUCCGGUACUGACGCUGAGGUGCGAAAGCGUGGGGAGCAAACAGG
This 253-nucleotide ribosomal RNA is filed under the name uncultured bacterium. RNAcentral's name for it is "partial 16S ribosomal RNA". It matches the Rfam family "Bacterial small subunit ribosomal RNA", at positions 524 to 776 of the family's 1533-position model. The record is from RNAcentral.